RNAcentral lists this ribosomal RNA (542 nucleotides) under Fusarium proliferatum. RNAcentral describes it as "eukaryotic LSU rRNA". The stretch from base 183 to 336 matches the Rfam family "5.8S ribosomal RNA". The record is from RNAcentral. Lineage: Eukaryota; Fungi; Ascomycota; Sordariomycetes; Hypocreales; Nectriaceae.
GGUCUCCGUUUGGUGCAUCACACGGAGGGACAUUACCGAGUUUACACUCCCAAACCCCUGUGAACAUACCAAUUGUUGCCUCGGCGGAUCAGCCCGCUCCCGGUAAAACGGGACGGCCCGCCAGAGGACCCCUAAACUCUGUUUCUAUAUGUAACUUCUGAGUAAAACCAUAAAUAAAUCAAAACUUUCAACAACGGAUCUCUUGGUUCUGGCAUCGAUGAAGAACGCAGCAAAAUGCGAUAAGUAAUGUGAAUUGCAGAAUUCAGUGAAUCAUCGAAUCUUUGAACGCACAUUGCGCCCGCCAGUAUUCUGGCGGGCAUGCCUGUUCGAGCGUCAUUUCAACCCUCAAGCCCCCGGGUUUGGUGUUGGGGAUCGGCGAGCCCUUGCGGCAAGCCGGCCCCGAAAUCUAGUGGCGGUCUCGCUGCAGCUUCCAUUGCGUAGUAGUAAAACCCUCGCAACUGGUACGCGGCGCGGCCAAGCCGUUAAACCCCCAACUUCUGAAUGUUGACCUCGGAUCAGGUAGGAAUACCCGCUGAACUUAA